CACGUAGUUAGCCGGGGCUUCUUAAUCAGGUACCGUCAUUUUCUUCCCUGCUGAUAGAGCUUUACAUACCGAAAUACUUCUUCACUCACGCGGCGUCGCUGCAUCAGGGUUUCCCCCAUUGUGCAAUAUUCCCCACCUGCUGCCUCCCGUAGGAGUUUGGGCCGUGUCUCAGUCCCAAUGUGGCCGUUCACCCUCUCAGGCCGGCUACUGAUCGUCGCCUUGGUGAGCCAUUACCCCACCAACAAGCUAAUCAGACGCGGAACCAUCGUAUACCACCAGAGUUUUUCACACCACUUCAUGCGAAGCUGUGCGCUUAUGCGGUAUUAGCACCUAUUUCUAAGUGUUAUCCCCCAGUAUACGGCAGGUUUUCCACGCGUUACUCACCCGUCCGCCACUAACUCAUAAAUCACUAGGUUUCAAUAUGAGUCCGUUCGACUUGCAUGUGUUAAGCACGCCGCCAGCGUUCAUCCUGAGCCAGGAUCAAACUCU
RNAcentral lists this ribosomal RNA (489 nucleotides) under uncultured Lachnospiraceae bacterium. RNAcentral's name for it is "partial 16S ribosomal RNA". Lineage: Bacteria; Bacillati; Bacillota; Clostridia; Lachnospirales; Lachnospiraceae. The record is from RNAcentral.